GGAUCACCUCCUAACAGGGAGACAACAAAAUGUUUAAUAUUAUUAUUUUGUCACCUUAGGUCGAUCGGUAUCUCACGUUCUUAAUUUUAUUAAGAAUUUCAUUUCCUAAGUUUUUCUAGGUCACACCCAUUAUUUUCCUGGGCCAUUAGCUCAGGUGGUUAGAGCGCACCCCUGAUAAGGGUGAGGUCCCUGGUUCAAGUCCAGGAUGGCCCAUAUCUCUAUGUUGGGGGUAUAGCUCAGUUGGUAGGGCGCCUGCUUUGCAAGCAGGAUGUCAGCGGUUCGAGUCCGCUUACCUCCACUGAUUACCACCUCUUCCAUAAACUUUAGAAAGGAAGAUUUUGAGUUGUGACACAAUUCUGAACGAAUCUAGCUUCCUAAUGAAAUCAUUAAGAUGCUGGACUCAUUGAAUUAAUUUCAUUGUUUUCAGAGAACCUUGACAACUGCAUAGAUUAUUUUUAAAGACAAUAAGCAUCUUUAAUGAUGCAGAUUUAUUAUUUGUGCGAAUGCAUUAAUAACAGUUCUAUUAAGCUGAUGCUUCAAUUAUGAAGUUAUUGGUCAAGCUACAAAGGGCUCACGGAGGAUACCUAGGCACACAGAGGCGAUGAAGG
This 608-nucleotide transfer RNA is filed under the name uncultured Prochlorococcus sp. RNAcentral describes it as "partial contains 16S ribosomal RNA, 16S-23S ribosomal RNA intergenic spacer, and 23S ribosomal RNA". The stretch from base 226 to 298 matches the Rfam family "tRNA". Lineage: Bacteria; Bacillati; Cyanobacteriota; Cyanophyceae; Synechococcales; Prochlorococcaceae. The record is from RNAcentral.